UUGCUAGAUUUGCAAUUGAAUAUCUCCUCAAGAAUUCCCAAACUAUUAUAGAAGGUCUUUCUUUCUCUCUCUAAAACCCUAGUUAGUGAGAGAAAGUAUUGAUCUAAGACAUUUCAAGGGUUUUAAGGUGAAAGAGUGAAAGAGCAUAAGAGGUUCUAUAAAAAAAAUGCACAAAAGCAUGAAAAUGAAGGCUAACUUGAGAGAGUUAUGGAAGCUUGAAGAGUACUCCCAUGGAAGGUGAAGAAAUG
RNAcentral lists this long non-coding RNA (248 nucleotides) under Theobroma cacao (cacao). RNAcentral's name for it is "long non-coding RNA (TCAC_LNC001700)". Lineage: Eukaryota; Viridiplantae; Streptophyta; Magnoliopsida; Malvales; Malvaceae. The record is from RNAcentral.